GAUCAUUAUAGAAUAAAUAUCCUGGAUUGACACUGGGUGCUAGUUUGAGUGGUUGUAAGGUUGACCUGCGCUUAAUUGCGCGGUUGGUUGCACUGCUUUUAAGCUGGUGCUAAUUAUAAACGGUGUCUUUCUGCUUUACACACUGUGGAGAUUUCUUCUUUCAGUAUUUUUCUUUGGGUUCAUUUUUGAGCCCAGAGGUAUUAAACACAAACAAUUUUGUAAUUUUAUACUAGUCUAGAUCAGUUUUAUUUUGAAACUACAAACUUCAAAACUUUCAACAACGGAUCUCUUGGUUCUCGCAUCGAUGAAGAACGCAGCGAAAUGCGAUACGUAAUGUGAAUUGCAGAAUUCCGUGAAUCAUCGAAUCUUUGAACGCACAUUGCGCCCCUUGGUAUUCCAGGGGGCAUGCCUGUUUGAGCGUCAUUUCCUUCUCAAACACCUGUGUUUGGUUGUGAGUGAUACUCUCUCUUUUGAGUUAGCUUGAAAGUGUUGGCCGAUUGCAGUUGUAUUGCAAAUGUGUACAGUUUUAGAUUGAGUAGUGUUGUGUGUGUGAAUUUUAUUUACACGGGCAAGCUGUCCAUUCAACUGUGUGUAUUUUGAGAUACUGUGCUGUGAAGAUGUACAAGGUCGUAUUAGGUUUUACCAACUCGAUUGCGUGUGUUUUUAUGGUUGUGGUAUGUUUGAGAUAUGCAUGGGGAUUAGUGAGUCUAGCAAUAUUGCUUUUCUGAGUUGUGCUUUAUUUUGUUUUUUCUGUGGCGAACAAU
Molecule: unclassified non-coding RNA, 764 nt
Filed under: Grigorovia transvaalensis
Lineage: Eukaryota; Fungi; Ascomycota; Saccharomycetes; Saccharomycetales; Saccharomycetaceae
Description: sequence contains 18S rRNA gene, ITS1, 5.8S rRNA gene, ITS2, 28S rRNA gene
Rfam family: 5.8S ribosomal RNA (bases 270-423)
Source: RNAcentral